Caretta caretta (loggerhead turtle) is the source of this 5539-nucleotide non-coding RNA. NCBI's taxonomy places the organism in Eukaryota, Metazoa, Chordata, Testudines, Cheloniidae. The record is from RefSeq and is a predicted model, not a curated record.
AAACUUUUGGGAAAGAGUACUGAUAACCGCUAUCAGGAAUCAUGCCCUUUUUUUGUGAAGCAUUCGGGGGGGAGUACCCCUACAUGCUCUGAAGCAGAUUGGUGAUGAAAAUAAGUCAAGGACGGAGAACAGCUGGGGGCAUGAAAGAACCACGGUGAAGUCCUAAAUGAUCCUGAAUAGGAAGAACACUGAGGGUGAAUAUCCUCUGCUGUGAUAGGCUGAAGCUUGCUGCUGAGCAGUGUACCUGUGCCAAAGCUGUCACUGUUCUGUUGAAAACUGCUGCAGUGAUCUCCUUCAAGGCAAGCGUGUCGAAGUAAUUAUGGGACUCUAUAGGCCUGCUUUACUUAAAGCAGUUAGCAUGGGUUGGUCCCAAUGAGGACCUUGCACUUAAGACUGUACCUCCUUGAACUGAAUGAGAAGUUCCGGAUCACGUAGUGCCUGGAAACUUGGGCUUAAGUUCAAAUGUGAAUGCUGUGGAAAGCUGAUAAGGCCAUGGGAGGCUUUCUGGGUGGGUUUGCCCUGGCCCUGCUAACAUGGAAUUUGCUCUUUGGCUUGAUAAUGCCAUAGAGACAUUAGCAAAGACCAUUAACCAAGCUUCCAGAUGAGGUAUCCGGCUGCCUGCACACGUUUUUUAGGGCUGUAAGAACACUUGACAAGAUGCUGUCUGCAACUCACGCCCCACUGCAUGGAUUCUCAUGAGACAAGGGUAUUACUACCGCAAGCUGAGUCAAAUUCUCUGCUAGCACCUCCCUGCACUGAUGAUUACAGUUGGCAGCUGCUAGUCAGUUCUUUGCUGCUGCUAAUGGAGGGCACUUCAUGUUUUCCACCAAGAGUACAAAGAGCCGGGGGUGGUGGUGAGGUUCUUUGAGUAUGCAGUAAACUGGGGGCUCCUCCUAUUGCUGCUGCCUCUGCAUUAUGCAGCUGAUGCAAUGAUGCUGGGGGGGAGGGCAGAAGGACCCUUCAAGUACCCAUGCUAUUGUGGCAAGGCUCUGGUCUUCCCUUGCUCCCAGGCUCUCACAUGGCUCUCUGCCAAAUCUCCUCUCCUUCAGCAUGGUGCUGUCAAUCAUCCUGGCCCCUCCAGCCCUUGCUGACUCCUCACAGCCUCAGAUGCUGUCAAUGCUCCAUCCCACAGCCCCUUUUCUCCUCUUCCGCACAUGGUUCUCAGCCCUUCCCCUUUUGGUGGUGCUGCUGCUGCCUGGUAUGCCUGGGUGCUGCACCAAGCCCUUCUGUCCCUGCACAGCGGCCAUGUCUCCCUGCUCCCUUACAGCACUGCUCAGCUAUCCAUACCUGUUCAGACCCCCAUGUUUCCUCCAUGCCCCCCCUCCACAAACACACACCCCAGAUCAAUUCUUGCUGCCCACUCUGCUGAGUGAGCUGGAGAGUUACGUUCUUAAGGAUGGGCUUGUUUCUCUGCCAAAGUUAGUAACUAUUUUUUAAAGAAAAGAUGAUUGAGAAUUCACUUGGCCAAUGAAGGGUAAGUCUGUUGAAUUUGCAGACUAAAUGUAAAUAUUGAUGUGAAAGAGAGAGAUGAUAUUCUUGCUCUAAGUGCAAAUCUGAGCACAGCCUUAACUAUAGCUCUUCUAGGAACCUCCAUCACUCAAUGGCAUGAAAUGUUUGUAUAAGGUUCUUCUGCUGUCCUGUAGCUAAGAACAUAAGAAUGGCCAUACUGGGUCAGAUCAAAGGUCCAUCCAGCCCAGUAUCCUGUCUGCUGACAGUGGCCGAAGCCAGGUGCCCCAGAGGGAAUGAACCUAACAGCUAAUGAUGAUCCAAGUGAUCUCUCUCUUGCCAUCCAGCUCCACCCUUUGACAAACAGAGGCUAGGGACACUGACAGAGGCUAGGGACACCAGCUGUUUGAGGUCUGAUAACACUUCUGCACAGUGACAAGUCAAUUAAUCAGUUUUGCUUAUAAAAGUCUCAUUCCAGUUGUCCUGUGUCCUCAUCCCAAAUUUAUACCACACAUGAGGUCCUGGAGCCUCCACCUGCCCUGAGCAGGGAGCUGGGGUGCCUGAGAGCAGCUCUGGCCUGUGUCCCCGCCCCCAGGGCAUGCUGCCCAGGGCAGGUGGUGGGUCCAGGGCUCCCCACAGCGGUGCAGGCUUCUUGGGCAGCUCUUACUACUGCCCAGCCCCCGUCCUCUGGCCAGGCCAGAAGCUGGACCUUGGUGGGGAGAGGAAGCGGGGGGUGGGGCCUCGUGGUGGGGGCGGACAAAGGCCCACCUCAGCCCCUCCUCCCCCCACCGGGAAGAGGCUGGCGCUGCCUUGAGUCUCGGGCAGGCGUGGAGCAGCACCCCAGGAAAUCCGUGACAAAUGCUUCCCAGAGUUAUUCAUCUUGGGACUGAGAUUUGAACGCUGCAUUUUGGGACUUCCCCCCUCAACUUGGGACAGGUGGCCACCCUAUUUCUUCUACACAGACGCUUGGAAACACAACAUGAACAACCCAAGGACAAACCACCAGAAUUUUUAAAGCGGACGUUGGCACAGCUAAUUGCAAGCACAAAAGUUUUGCGCUCUGCUGCUGCUGACAGUAUGAAGGCCCUUGAAGUAUAAUACUUAGUGAAUUACGGAGUUGCAAAGUUAGGGAAACCUCACACCAUAUCAGAGGAACUAAUACUACUUGUGGCUGCAGACGUGGUAAGCACUAUGCUUGGAAAGAAGGCACAAAAAUUAAUUCAGUUAGUGCCAUUAUCAAACAACACGGUGUCACAUUGAAUUGAUGACAUGGCCAACGAUGUCCUAACUCAAUUAGUUAACCGUGUCAGUGGCCGCCAAUUCUUUGCUCUGUAGCUGGACAAAUCCACAGAUAUGAAUCAUAGAAUAUCAGGGUCGGAAGGGACCUCAGGAGGUCAUCUAGUGCAACCCCUUGCUCAAAGCAGGACCAAUCCCCAACUAAAUCAUCCCAGCCAGGGCUUUGUCAAGCAUGACCUUAAAAACACCUAAGGAAGGAUAUUCCACCACCUCCCUAAGUAACCCAUUCCAGUGCUUCACCAUCCUCCUAGUGAAAAAGUUUUUCCUAAUAUCCAACCUAAAACCUCCCCCACUGCAACUUGAGACCAUAACUCCUUGUUCUGUCAUCUGCUACCACGGAGAACUUUCUAAAUCCAUCCUCUUUGGAACCCCCUUUCAGGUAGUUGAAAGCAGCUAUCAAAUCCCCCCUCAUUCUUCUCUUCUGCAGACUAAAUAAUCCCAGUUCCCUCAGUCUCUCCUCAUAAGUCAUGUGUUCCAGUCCCCUAAUCAUUUUUGUUGCCCUCCGCUGGACAUUUUCCAAUUUUUCCACAUCCUUCUUUUAGUGUGGGGCCCAAAACUGGACACAGUGCUCCAGAUGAGGCCUCACCAAUGCCAAAUAGAGGGGAACGAUCACAUCCCUCGAUCUGCUGGCAAUGCUCCUACUUAUACAGCCCAAAAUGCCGUUAGCCUCCUUGGCAACAAGGGCACACUGUUGACUCAUAUCCAGCUUCUCGCCCACUGUAACUCCUACGUCCUUUUCUGCAGAACUGCUGCCUAGCAGUUCGGUCCCUAGUCUGUAGCGGUGCAUGGGAUUCUUCCAUCCUAAGUGCAGGACUCUGCACUUGUCCUUGUUGAACCUCAUCAGAUUUCUUUUGGCCCAAUUCUCUAAUUUGUCUAGGUCCCUCUGUAUUCUAUCCCUACCCUCCAGCGUAUCUACCACUCCUCCCAGUUUAGUGUCAUCUGCAAACUUGCUGAGGGUGCAAUCUACGCCAUCCUCCAGAUCAUUAAUGAAGAUAUUGAACAAAACCAGCCCCAGGACCGACCCUUGGGGCACUCUGCUUGAUACUGGCUGCCAACUAGACAUGAAGCCAUUGAUCACUACCUGAUGAUCUAGCCAGCUUUCUAUCCACCUUAUAGUCCAUUCAUCCAGCCCAUACUACUUUAAUUUGUUGGCAAGAAUACUGUGGGAAACCGUAUCAAAAGCUUUGCUAAAGUCAAAGAAUAACAUGUCCACUGCUUUCCCCUCAUCUACAAAGCUAGUUAUCUCAUCAUAGAAGGCAAUUAGAUUAGUCAGGCAUGACUUGCUCUUGGUGAAUCCCUGUGGACUGUUCCUGAUCACUUUCCUCUCCUCUAAGUGCUCCAAAAUGGAUUCCUUGAGGACCUGCUCCAUGAUUUUUUACAUGGCAGGCUUAGCUCACCUUCUAGUGUAUGUGCAGUACAUUUAUGAAGGUGCACUACAGGAGGACAUUUUGUUUUGCCUCUUGCUGCCUACCAGAACAAUAGCUGAGGAGAUUUUCUGGUUGCUUGACAGCUUCAUAAAUCAACAUAUCAUCUGGUUAUGAGGUAUUGGCAUAUGCACUGACAGAGCAAAGCCAAUGACUGGAAGGCCCAGUGGGGUAGUGAUAUGUGUCAGAUCAGUCGCUCCCAAUGUGAUGUGGUGCAUUGCAGCAUACAUAGGGAAGCACUUGCGCUAAAAGCAUGCCAAUCAACUUGAAGGAGGUGCUGGACAAUACGGGGAGGAUGGUAAACUUUAUAAAAGCUCGACCCUUAAAUCCCAGAAUCCUUUCUGCUCCAUGUAAUGAGAUGGGAAGCGAGCACAUCAAUCUAUUGCUCCACAUGGAGGUUUGAUGGCUGUCCCGGGGCAAGGUCUUGGCACAUUUCUUUGAACUUCACUCUGAGAUCAAUGUAUUCUUUACAGACCACCCAUUCCCACUCUUUCACUGACACGGCCUGGCUCUCACAACUGGGAUACUUGUCAGAUAUAGUCUCUUGCCUGAAUGAGCUAAAUUUAGGAUUUCGAGGGCUGAAUGCAACCAUCGUCAAUGCCCAGGACAAAAAUGAGUCAAUGACAAAAAAGCUGGAAUUCUGGGGUCGCUGCAUGGAGGAAACACUGAAAUUUUCCCAAACAUGCAUGAAUUCCUGACAGUGAAUGAACUACAGUUGCAGGACAGUGUUAAAGGUGAUAUCAAGCAAUGUCUUACUGAACUGAUGAGACAGUUAUGUGAGUACUUUCCCUCAAUGGGAAAUCCAAACAGAUGGGUCCACUACCCUUUCACAAGUUUUUCUGUAGUACUCAUGCUGCAAGACUUGUCAAUAAAAGAACAAGAGAAUCUCCUGAACAUCUCAGCUAAUGCCAGACUCAAGAGUGAGUUUGAACAAAAGCAGUUUGCUUGCAUUUGGAUCCAAAAUUAGCCGAGUUCCCCGAAUUAUCAGACAGGGCUGUCAAGGUUUUGAUGCCGUUUGCUACAACUUACCUGUGUGAAAGUGGUUUUUCAUCACUCACUGGAUAGAAAUCAAAGUAUCGUCAGCACCUUUGUGUAGAAAACAAUUUAUAACUCAAACUAUCACCUAUCACUCCAAAUAUUAUAGGCCUGUGCUUGGACAAACCACUUCAGCUGUCACAUUAAUGGUGAGUAGUACUAGUAAGCCAUUUUUAAGUUGGUCAAAAGAAAGCAUACAUUCAAACUAAAACCAUAAAUUUAUAUGUAUUAUUAUAGUCCUAUAUAUUGUGUAUAUAUGUGUAUUAUAAUUUGUACAUUUUGUACAAUGCUUGGGCAUUAAAAGGGUUAAAAUAUAAAACCUGUAUUCUACUAGCGGU